Thalassophryne amazonica is the source of this 191-nucleotide long non-coding RNA. RefSeq lists it as uncharacterized. The transcript is spliced from 3 exons. The record is from RefSeq and is a predicted model, not a curated record. NCBI's taxonomy places the organism in Eukaryota, Metazoa, Chordata, Actinopteri, Batrachoidiformes, Batrachoididae.
UGAUGGCCUAGAGGUUAAGUAAUGGGCUUGAGACCAGAGGAUCCUUGGUUCAAAUGCCUGUCAACCUGGAAAAUCACUAAGGGCUCUUGGGCAAGGUCCUUGAUCCCCAAGUUGCACCCAGUGUGUAAUGAGCGCCUUAAAUGGCAGCACUCAGACAUCAGUGUGAAUGGGUGAAUGUGAGGCAUCAUUGU